Molecule: ribosomal RNA, 206 nt
Filed under: Symbiodinium sp. clade D
Lineage: Eukaryota; Dinophyceae; Suessiales; Symbiodiniaceae
Description: partial Eukaryotic large subunit ribosomal RNA
Rfam family: Eukaryotic large subunit ribosomal RNA
Source: RNAcentral
UCUAGUAGCUGGUUCCCUCCGAAAUUUCCCUCAGGAUAGCUGCGAUCGGAGUUCAAUUUUAUCAGGUAAAGCGAAUGAUUCGAGGCAUUGGGGGUAUGUUACCCUUGACCCACUCUCAAACUUUUAAUGGGUAAGCUCCACUGGUUGCUUAGGUGACGCAGGGGGAGGAAUAACAGCUCUACGUGGGCCAUUUUUGGUAAGCAGAA